This 253-nucleotide ribosomal RNA is filed under the name uncultured bacterium. RNAcentral describes it as "partial 16S ribosomal RNA". It matches the Rfam family "Bacterial small subunit ribosomal RNA", at positions 524 to 776 of the family's 1533-position model. The record is from RNAcentral.
UACGUAGGGUGCAAGCGUUGUCCGGAAUUAUUGGGCGUAAAGAGCUCGUAGGCGGUUCGUCGCGUCGGCUGUGAAAUCCCGAGGCUCAACCUCGGGUCUGCAGUCGAUACGGGCGGACUGGAGUUCGGCAGGGGAGACUGGAAUUCCCGGUGUAGCGGUGAAAUGCGCAGAUAUCAGGAGGAACACCGGUGGCGAAGGCGGGUCUCUGGGCCGAUACUGACGCUGAGGAGCGAAAGCGUGGGGAGCGAACAGG